This 406-nucleotide ribosomal RNA is filed under the name uncultured bacterium. Its description in RNAcentral is "partial 16S ribosomal RNA". It matches the Rfam family "Bacterial small subunit ribosomal RNA", at positions 30 to 526 of the family's 1533-position model. The record is from RNAcentral.
AUUGAACGCUGGCGGCAGGCCUAACACAUGCAAGUCGAGCGAGCGGCGGACGGGUGAGUAAUGUAUGGGGAUCUGCCUGAUGGCUGGGGUUAACUACUGGAAACGGUAGCUAAUACCGCAUACCAUCAGAUGAACCCAUAUGGGAUUAGCUUGUAGGUGAGGUAACGGCUCACCUAGGCUACGAUCCCUAGCUGGUCGGAGAGGAUGAUCAGCCACACUGGGACUGGGACACGGGCCAGACUCCUACGGGAGGCAGCAGUGGGGAAUAUUGCACAAAGGGCGAAAGCCUGAUGCAGCCAGGCCGCGUGUAUGAAGAAGGCCUUCGGGUUGUAAAGUACGUUCAGUAGGGAGGCGUUACCGACAGAAGAAGCACCGGCUAACUCCGUGCCAGCAGCCGCGGUAAUAC